CGUCUCCCGACCCCAGAUGAAAACUGAAGAACAGAUCACACAAGCACAGGGCAAAGCGGGGCCUCCAUGAAGUGGCCCGCGUGCUGGGAAGGAACCAGAGAAGGCUUGCAGGAAAACUGGCCUUCCCACAGCGGGGCGUGUGAAACAGAGCAGCUCCCGGG
Long non-coding RNA from Herpailurus yagouaroundi (jaguarundi), 161 nucleotides. RefSeq lists it as uncharacterized. The transcript has 3 exons. NCBI's taxonomy places the organism in Eukaryota, Metazoa, Chordata, Mammalia, Carnivora, Felidae. The record is from RefSeq and is a predicted model, not a curated record.